This 255-nucleotide ribosomal RNA is filed under the name uncultured bacterium. RNAcentral's name for it is "partial 16S ribosomal RNA". It matches the Rfam family "Bacterial small subunit ribosomal RNA", at positions 524 to 776 of the family's 1533-position model. The record is from RNAcentral.
UACGUAGGUGGCAAGCGUUGUCCGGAUUUACUGGGCGUAAAGAGCGCGCAGGCGGUCGUUCAAGUCGCGUGUGAAAGCCCCCCGGCUCAACUGGGGAGGGUCACGCGAUACUGAUCGACUCGAAGGCAGGAGAGGGUAGUGGAAUUCCCGGUGUAGUGGUGAAAUGCGUAGAUAUCGGGAGGAACACCAGUGGCGAAGGCGACUACCUGGCCUGUUCUUGACGCUGAGGCGCGAAAGCUAGGGGGAGCAAACGGG